GAUAAUAUAGAUGACAUCAAGCUGAAGAUGAGAAUUAACAGUGGAUGCAUACGUAGAUGCAGUCACUACAGAUCACCCCUUUGAUUAGCUUGUUUGCAACAAUGCGAAACAUCCUUGAUUGUGUAGGCACAAAACGAGAAGCAAGUCAGAAAAAAUGACAUUAGAAAGGUCACGAAUUUCAUGGUAUAGUUCAAGGGCAGAAUAACCAUCAGUGGCAUUUGAAGAACUAUUUUCUUUUCCCUGACAUGUUCUGCCAUAGUUCCUCCCUGUUUUAGACCUUCCAGCAAGUGAACUGGAGUUGGACCAUUUAGAGAAGCCUCCCCAUCUGGAAAGUGGACAAUUCUAACCUCUACACAUUGAAUUUGUGAUACUGCUCACAAAUCUCUAAGUCUGGAUUUGAUACUUCCAACUUCAAAUGCAAUAUAAGCAACCAGAACACCUGAAUAAAAAAGCAAGUUUAAACAAAACGAAGAAAGGGAAACAAAUGCAUAUAUGGGUAUACUUUAUACACAUUAUAUAUAUAUAUAUAUAUAUCUAUAGAGAGAGAGAGAGGUAAGUCAUGAACUAUUUGUAUGAUUAAUAGCAUCAUCUCUCCUGCUAUUAUCAACUACGGUGGUUCACCCAAAACACAACAAUAUCAAGCAUACGACACACAGACAAGAAACAGGAAAUUCUUAAUUGGUUGAUGGAAAAUUUUACCCAAACAAUCUAAUACCAAAAUUUAACUACUGAACACUUAAUUGAUUGAUUGAAAACCCUUGAGUUCUCUCUUACCUAGUAUAAUUUUUCCAACUUCAAUUAGUUCUGGAAUCGCUCUCAAAAUCAUUCUGUUUAUGCAAAAUAACGACAUCGAAGCUAACGCUAAUGAGCCUAAUCCUAAUCAAAUUGAAUAAUACCCACAGAAAGAACUCAAUCAACGAACAUACUUACAUAAAAAGAAAAUUAACCCAGCCUGCUUGUCAAGAGGGUGGUGGAAGUCAAGCCUUGAGGUUGUGGAAGAAAACAGAGGAACAUCAAUCUGCUACUCAUGGCUAAGCUGGCCCGCUAGGCACGUCGGAGGUGUUGAAUUGAGAAAGAUAGGAGACGCAAACCUCAAAAUGAU
Molecule: long non-coding RNA, 1102 nt
Filed under: Fragaria vesca (wild strawberry)
Lineage: Eukaryota; Viridiplantae; Streptophyta; Magnoliopsida; Rosales; Rosaceae
Description: long non-coding RNA (FVES_LNC005650)
Source: RNAcentral